Lactuca sativa (garden lettuce) is the source of this 408-nucleotide non-coding RNA. NCBI's taxonomy places the organism in Eukaryota, Viridiplantae, Streptophyta, Magnoliopsida, Asterales, Asteraceae. The record is from RefSeq and is a predicted model, not a curated record.
AAAACAAUCAUCUUGAUGAAGAAAAUCAUCAGUUCGGUUAUACUGAUUCAGAGUUUAUUCAUAACGAGGAAAAUCAAUCGGAAACCCAAGAUAUGAAUGACAUCGGAAAUGAUCAUUACGAUGAAGAAAAUCAUCAAUUCAGAUCUGGUGAUUCAUAGAUUCUGGACAAUGAUGGAAAUCAAUUGGAAAUCCAAGUUCAAAGUGACAAUGUUGCAGCAGAAUAUGGAUCUUGCAAAGAAUUCAUUGGAGCUGAUGGUUCUUUAUUUUGGAUUCCAGUGGUUGAACCUGGUUGGAUACCUACUUUGGGUUCAAUUUUUAAAGAUAUAAAAGAUGCUAUUAAGUGGUAUAAAGGAUAUGCAUUAAGAUCUGGUUUUGAUAUUAGAAAAUCAACAGAGAGGAAAAAGAGUG